GAGGCUAGGAGGGCAAACCCUGGAGGGGGAUGGGAGACCUUCUUUGGCGGCUGACCAGCUGUGUGACCUUUGAGCAAACCACUGUCCCUGUUGACAUUUUGAAUAGUGCUCUGCAGCUGGACGGAGAUGCUCUCCCUGAACCCCAGUCUCCCCAGUUAUACAAGUCCCCAAAGGUGGCUCCACCUUCAGUGCUCAGCAGCCCCUCCUGGAAUCCUCAAGCUCUCAGAUUUCACCGGAGACAGUGCUUGACUUCCCAUUCGCCCUUAAGCUGCACAAGUGGGUGCUUGUGCCCACGCGGAUGCACCCACGCCACCUGAAGGGAGUCUUGGCCCCCGCCUGGCUGGCCUGUCCCAGAGUCUGCCUGAAGUUGGACCCCGCUGCCUGUAGUUUGGGGCUCAGGGACACCGAAGUACCGCUGGCCAGCAGACCCCACAAAGAGGACGUGAGCAAUGACGCAUCCCAGGCUGCCUGCUCUGUGGGUUUGAUACAAGACUGGCGGGGACUAGAAUAGACUUUCUUGUCACUUCAUAGCCUCGGUUCACUAUUUUCCUUUUAAAAUUAAAUAUUCGGAGAAUAUUAACAAAACCAAAACAUGCAAGCAAAAAAUAAAGACAAUUUCCCCAGG
This 625-nucleotide long non-coding RNA is filed under the name Fukomys damarensis (Damara mole-rat). RNAcentral's name for it is "lncRNA (ENSFDAG00000026817.1)". Lineage: Eukaryota; Metazoa; Chordata; Mammalia; Rodentia; Bathyergidae. The record is from RNAcentral.